This 98-nucleotide Y RNA is filed under the name Sorex araneus (European shrew). RNAcentral's name for it is "Y RNA (ENSSARG00000017626.1)". It matches the Rfam family "Y RNA". From Rfam's summary of the family: Y RNAs are components of the Ro ribonucleoprotein particle (Ro RNP), in association with Ro60 and La proteins. Lineage: Eukaryota; Metazoa; Chordata; Mammalia; Eulipotyphla; Soricidae. The record is from RNAcentral.
GGUGUUUACAAUUAAUGUGGUAUUUACAAUUGAGCACAGCCAAUUACAGAUUUCUUUGUUCCUUCUCCUCUUCCACUGCUUCACUUGAUUGGCCUGCU